GCUAGCGUAGCUCAAUGGCAGAGCACUGGUUUUGUAAACCAGAAGUUGUGGGUUCGACUCCCACCGCUAGCU
This 72-nucleotide transfer RNA is filed under the name Gemmataceae bacterium. Its description in RNAcentral is "tRNA-Thr". It matches the Rfam family "tRNA". From Rfam's summary of the family: Transfer RNA (tRNA) molecules are approximately 80 nucleotides in length. Their secondary structure includes four short double-helical elements and three loops (D, anti-codon, and T loops). The record is from RNAcentral. RNAcentral also lists the same sequence under 1 other name. Lineage: Bacteria; Pseudomonadati; Planctomycetota; Planctomycetia; Gemmatales; Gemmataceae.